UACGUAGGGGGCAAGCGUUGUCCGGAUUUAUUGGGCGUAAAGCGCACGCAGGCGGUCUUGUGAGUUUCGAGUGACAGGUGGUGGCUUAACUGCCACAGGCCUCGGAAAACGGCAAGACUUGAGGACUUCAGAGGGAGGCGGAAUUCCAGGUGGAGCGGUGAAAUGCGUAGAGAUCUGGAAGAACACCAAAGGCGAAGGCAGCCUCCUGGGAAGUAUCUGACGCUCGGGUGCGAAAGCUAGGGGAGCGAACGGG
RNAcentral lists this ribosomal RNA (253 nucleotides) under uncultured bacterium. Its description in RNAcentral is "partial 16S ribosomal RNA". It matches the Rfam family "Bacterial small subunit ribosomal RNA", at positions 524 to 776 of the family's 1533-position model. The record is from RNAcentral.